Molecule: ribosomal RNA, 1164 nt
Filed under: Enterococcus durans
Lineage: Bacteria; Bacillati; Bacillota; Bacilli; Lactobacillales; Enterococcaceae
Description: bacterial SSU rRNA
Rfam family: Bacterial small subunit ribosomal RNA
Source: RNAcentral
GCUUCUUUUUCCACCGGAGCUUGCUCCACCGGAAAAAGAAGAGUGGCGAACGGGUGAGUAACACGUGGGUAACCUGCCCAUCAGAAGGGGAUAACACUUGGAAACAGGUGCUAAUACCGUAUAACAAUCGAAACCGCAUGGUUUUGAUUUGAAAGGCGCUUUCGGGUGUCGCUGAUGGAUGGACCCGCGGUGCAUUAGCUAGUUGGUGAGGUAACGGCUCACCAAGGCCACGAUGCAUAGCCGACCUGAGAGGGUGAUCGGCCACAUUGGGACUGAGACACGGCCCAAACUCCUACGGGAGGCAGCAGUAGGGAAUCUUCGGCAAUGGACGAAAGUCUGACCGAGCAACGCCGCGUGAGUGAAGAAGGUUUUCGGAUCGUAAAACUCUGUUGUUAGAGAAGAACAAGGAUGAGAGUAACUGUUCAUCCCUUGACGGUAUCUAACCAGAAAGCCACGGCUAACUACGUGCCAGCAGCCGCGGUAAUACGUAGGUGGCAAGCGUUGUCCGGAUUUAUUGGGCGUAAAGCGAGCGCAGGCGGUUUCUUAAGUCUGAUGUGAAAGCCCCCGGCUCAACCGGGGAGGGUCAUUGGAAACUGGGAGACUUGAGUGCAGAAGAGGAGAGUGGAAUUCCAUGUGUAGCGGUGAAAUGCGUAGAUAUAUGGAGGAACACCAGUGGCGAAGGCGGCUCUCUGGUCUGUAACUGACGCUGAGGCUCGAAAGCGUGGGGAGCAAACAGGAUUAGAUACCCUGGUAGUCCACGCCGUAAACGAUGAGUGCUAAGUGUUGGAGGGUUUCCGCCCUUCAGUGCUGCAGCUAACGCAUUAAGCACUCCGCCUGGGGAGUACGACCGCAAGGUUGAAACUCAAAGGAAUUGACGGGGGCCCGCACAAGCGGUGGAGCAUGUGGUUUAAUUCGAAGCAACGCGAAGAACCUUACCAGGUCUUGACAUCCUUUGACCACUCUAGAGAUAGAGCUUCCCCUUCGGGGGCAAAGUGACAGGUGGUGCAUGGUUGUCGUCAGCUCGUGUCGUGAGAUGUUGGGUUAAGUCCCGCAACGAGCGCAACCCUUAUUGUUAGUUGCCAUCAUUCAGUUGGGCACUCUAGCAAGACUGCCGGUGACAAACCGAAGGAAGGUGGGGAUGACGUCAAAUCAUCAUGCCCCUUA